AUAAUCCAGAAUGCGGUAACUUUUCACGCACAUCGUUGACUUAUGUGAUAAGGGACGAUGACAAUGCACUGCGAUUUACAUGUAAACUUGGACAGUCGACUUCCUAUUCAAAGAGUAUAAGCAUCUGCAUUGGAGCUGAACCCGAACAACUAAAGAUGUUAACAACCCCAGUCGGAAGAAGGGUGUAUGAUAUCAAUUCUACAGUGGAGAUGAAAUGUACGGGGCUGGUAGGCGUUCCCUUAAAGAAUUGGACAUGGCAGUGGCGAGAUGAUCCGUUGAAUAAAACGUGGCAGCCCUAUCGAUACCCAGAUAACAUUAGCAAUAUGUAUAACUCGUACAAGUUUGGUUGUGACUCGUUCACCUCUUCAACUUUGAAACAUACCAUGACAGAUAGAGGAAUAGAGUUCAAAUGUAUUUUAGGGAGUUCCGAGGCCUACAGUUUUACAAAUACUCUUUACCCUAAAGUGAUCUCGUCCGGUCAAUUACAAAUUCAAAAUCUACCAGACGCCGGAACCAAAACCCGAAAAUUGAAAUUGAGAUGUUCACCGCAAGUCGAUGCUGGUUAUGUAAGACUAAACUCAAUAUGGAUUAAACGUAAUACAUACCAGACCUGGAAAAUUGAUAAAUCUGGGCAUUCAUCAUUUUAUGAUCCCGGUGUUGCUGUCACGAGUUCUUUUGACCCUGCAGCACCACUGAAUUCGUAUCUAGCAAUUGAAUACAUCCCAUCCUGUGGCGGCCACCGCCAAUUUAGCUGUAGUACA
Molecule: long non-coding RNA, 761 nt
Organism: Patella vulgata (common limpet)
Lineage: Eukaryota; Metazoa; Mollusca; Gastropoda; Patellidae
Exons: 3
Source: RefSeq, a predicted model, not a curated record